Molecule: long non-coding RNA, 889 nt
Organism: Aedes albopictus (Asian tiger mosquito)
Lineage: Eukaryota; Metazoa; Arthropoda; Insecta; Diptera; Culicidae
Exons: 2
Source: RefSeq, a predicted model, not a curated record
GCAUAGAAAAAUACAACUUCUCAUACAUUCCAAACAGUAACUAUCUUCUAAUUGUUGCUGUGACAUUACUACAAACAUUUGUUUUAAUGUUGAGCAAUAUGGAAUCUAGUGCAACACACUAUAAAAAACGUAUUGAAUAAUUUAUGUGAAUCAGUAACAGUAUGUUAAAGUGUUCACACAUUGUCAAACAAUAUGAAGACAAAACUUGUAAUGAAUGGUGGCAAUAUACGGUCACCGCAUGCCAAACAGUUCGUGCUCACAAUGGCGCAACACACUAACGCAUAAGCAUUUCACUGUAUAAAACUAAUUCUUAACAAUUUGUCAGAUGGUUGCACGCAUUAGUAUUUGUAAUCGAUAUUUUUGUGCUCUUGCGCUGCGUUUUCUGUCAGAAUAUGCAAAGUGAAAAAAUAAAACAAAUCGGUUUCACAAGUUUCUACUGCUUUCGUUCGAUUUAUUUGUUUCUUUUUUAUUUGUUUGAGCGGUUUGUACAGUUCAUGAACUUCGCACGAAAUUCACAAUCUUCAAAAAAAUGUUAUCCGGAGUGAACACAUUGGACUGGCGCAAACAAAAACCGAGGAGAACGCGGAAUGGAUUCCGCAGUGGCUAGCUUCUUGCACCCACAAACGGCAAAAAGAAUAGUUGGUGUUUGAUGCAUUCCAAUGGACAAUAUGCAGGACUCGUAGUUGCAGGAUAAGUUAAGCUGGAGGUCAACCUGGAGGGCACAAAGUUGCCGGACUGAAACCGCACCCUGUCGAGCUUGAACUUUUCUUUCGGUGAGAGAUUCGCUUUAAAAGUGUGAAGAUGGUUGGAUUAGAUUUGCGAUUUUCGGAAAUUAUGUUUAAAAUAGUUUUAAAUAUGUUUUACUGCAUGUAACGCAUGCACAGUGGCA